UGAGAUGAUCUAACACAUAGUUGCCUAACCACUCACAUCACAAUGCUGACAACUUCACAAACCUUAUCAGGAAAAGUGUCCCCACAUCCUAUACCAAUUUCUUCAUUCUGGUGAACACUCUGAAUGGAGUCACAGUGUGGUUUAUGUACAGUGUUCUGUCGCAAGUAGAGAUAGAGAGCUAAGCUUGAUAAGAAUCACAGGCUCUAUAGCCUAGACCAGUGGUUCUCAAACUGAGGUCCCCAGAUGUUCUUGGACUGCAAUUCCUAGAAGCCUUCACCACUUGUGGUGCUGGCCAGGAUUUUUGGAAUUUACAGUCCAAGAACAUCUGAGGACCCAAGUUUGAGAACCAAUGAUUUAGACUAGUGCUUCCCAGCCUUCAAUCACCAGAUGUUCCUGGACUAAAACUCCCAGAAAUCCUGGUUAGUGGUGAAGGCCUCUGGGAACUUUAAUUCAAGAACAACUGGGUUUUUACAUUGCUGUUUUUAUAUUGUUUAUAUUGAGAGGUCAGGUAGCAUAAAAGAAUGUUUCUCUUGAAUUUUAGAUUGUGAGGUGUUCUUUCAGAACUGCAUGCCUUGUAUAUGAAGAAAAUUCUUGUAUACGUCAGAGAGCAGCCCUAGAUGCCUUUGCCAUGGAUUUAAAUUAAUGAUUUAGAUGUGAAUAAGCCACCUUUGAUACAUGAGAAUCCUGCUUCCUCGCCCUGCCAAGGAAGGGUUGAGUCGUCAACAGGGCCAAGCGAACUAGUGAGGAAGAUUUCCUUGCACCAGGGAAAAUGGAGGUGAAAAAUGCUGGCCAGGUAGAGCAUCGAGAAAGGCUGCAAAAAAUAGUACAGUUUGAAUUUCAUUGCAUUAUCUCAGGCUUUGCUGCCGAAUGACUUCGUUAUUCCUUUUUCUUGAACAAUAACAAUGACAGCAAAAUAAAAUCACUUGUAUUUCCA
RNAcentral lists this long non-coding RNA (934 nucleotides) under Pogona vitticeps (central bearded dragon). RNAcentral's name for it is "lncRNA (ENSPVIG00000006592.1)". The record is from RNAcentral. Lineage: Eukaryota; Metazoa; Chordata; Lepidosauria; Squamata; Agamidae.